UUUUUUUUUUUUGUUUUUUCCUUUCAAAACAUUAAAUAUUUUAUUCACGUCUUGAUUUUAUGAUUUCUGGUAAGUCCACUGUAACUCUUAUCCUUUUUCCUCUACAGGUAGGGUAAAUUCCCUGUGGCUCCUUUCAAAUUAUCUGGUUGUCUUUGUUUUUGUUUUUUUGUUUUUGUUUUUAUUUUUGUUUUUUUUUGCAGUUUGAAUAGAAUAUUUUACAUGUAUUAGUAACCUGUUGUAUCUGUAACAAUUAGUACCAAUUUAGUGUCUUAAAACAACACAGAUUUAUUAUAAUUUUCAAAGUCAGAAGUUUGAAACAGGCUUGAGUUAGCUAAAAUCAAGAUAUUGUCAGGGCUGGGUUCCUUCUGGAAGCUCUAGUGGAAAAUCUUUUUGGUUGCCUUUUAUGAUCUAUUAUUUCUAGAAGCAGCCUGCAUUCUUUGGCUUAUGGUCCCGUUCCCAUCUUUAAAGGCAGAAGUUUAGCACUUCUCAUUAGCACUCUGAUGCUGACACUCUGCUUUUGUCCUCACGUUGCUUCUCUGACUUUUUAAAGGACACUUAUGGUUAUGUUGGGUCCACCCAAUUAUCCAGAAUAAUUUCUGUAUCUCAACUUUUUUAUCUUAUGUUUGAGAAGCUUAUCUUGCCAUAUAAAGUGACAUGUACAGGCUUGAGAUACUAGGAGAUGGACUGCUUUGGUGAGGUAGCAUUCAUCUGUCUACUUCAGACAAAUGGAAAAUAACAAAUGUUGGGGAGAAUGGGGAGGAACUGGAACACUUGUGCAUUACUGAUAGGAAUGUAAAAUGGUGCAGCCACUAUGGAAAAGAGCUUGGCAGUUGCUCAAAAAGUUAAACAUGGAAUUAUCAUAUAACUUAGCAAUUCCAUUCAUAGGCAUAUACCCAAGAAAUGUUAAACAAGUACCAAAAAAAUACUUAUAUAUGGGUGAUCACAGUAGAACUAUUCACAAUAACCAGUAGGUAGAAACUAACCAAAUGUCCAUAAACAAAUGAAUGAACAAACUUGAUAUGUGUAUACUAUGUAAUAUUAUUCAGCUGUAAAAAGGAAUGAAGUACAGAUAUAUGAUACAGUGCUACAAUGUGAAUGAACCUCAAAAACUCUGAUAUAAGAAAAUAGACACAAAAUGUCACACAUUGUAUGAAUUCAUUUACAUGAAAUAUUCAGAACAUAUAAAUCCUUUUUUUUUUUUUUUUCUGUCUUUUUGCUAUUUCUUGGGCCGCUCCUGCGGCAUAUGGAGGUUCCCAGGCUAGGGGUUGAAUCGGAGCUGUAGCCACCGGCCUACGCCAGAGCCACAGCAACGCGGGAUCCAAGCCGCGUCUGCAACCUACACCACAGCUCACGGCAACGCCGGAUCGUUAACCCACUGAGCAAGGGCAGGGACCGAACCCGCAACCUCAUGGUUCCUAGUCGGAUUCGUUAACCACUGCGCCACGACGGGAACUCCAGAUAAAUCCAUAUUGACAGAAAGCAAAUGGGUGGUUGUCAUGGGUACUGGUGAACUGCUUACACUGUUCACAUAUUAUUGUGGGACUUUGAAAGUGUUUGAACUUAACAGAGAUGGUAGUUUUACAGUAUUGUGAAUGUACAAAAUGCAGCUGAAUCCUUCAUAUAAAGUGAUUAAUUUACAUUCUAUGAAUUUUACUCUACUUUAAAAGAAUAAUGUUAUUUUAGUAUUAAAAGACGAGAAAAGUGAAGUGCAAAUAAGUAACUGUGAUGGUUAGUUUUAUGUGUCAACUUAUCUGGUGGUCAAUUUUGCCUCUUCCAAUAAGUUGAAGGUUUAAAUAAAACAAAAGGCUGACUUUCCCUCUAAACAAGAGAGGACUGUCUGGAAGAUUACCUUUAAAUUCCAUCUACAACAGUGCUUCUUCCUGAUUUGUUUUUUAGAAUGUUUUAGCUUUAAAAAAACUUACAUGAGAUUUUCAUGAAAUAUGUAUAUAUGUGUAAUCUUUAAAAAGCAUGGGAAAGAAAAUUAUAUAUAAAAUAUAAAUUGAUAUAGAAAACAUCUGCUGCUUAAAGUAUAGACCAUGAAUCCACAUUUGAUUAAAGUUUUUCAGUUUCAGUUUUAGCUCUAAAAUUUCCCAGAAACAGAAUGUAUAUUUCUAAAGUAAUCUUCUAUAAAGGUAAACACAAACACACACAUGUACUCUCACCACACAUGUGCUCACACACACACAUUUUUUAGAGGAGAGAACUUAUCUCUUUAGAAAUUAUAUCAAAGAACUAAUCUUUUAGAACUUAAGAAAUUAGAAUUUAGCUAUCUAUACCUGUUAUUUUUUUUAAAAAAAAAGGUCAAUGGAUUAAAUAUCAGUGAAUUUAACAUCCAUGACUGAAAAUAUUAUUUAGUUUACUUGAAAAAUAAAUAUAUUAUUCAUGUGUGAGCUUGGGCUUCAUUGUAUAUUUUUGUUCUUUUAAACACUGAAAAUCUAUCUAGGCAAAUGUCUAUAUCAAAAGUUAGAUAAUCUCUAAAAGAUUAAUAACAGAUGGACUAGAAAAUGUUUCUGGCUCAAAUAUUAUUUUGUGGUAUUUAAAAAUAUAUACAGAUUCAAAAUUCUGAUUAUUAUCUAACAAUUAUUUAAUCAUUUCACCUUAAAGUAUAUAAAUAAUUUAAACUUGUUGAGCCUAGGGAAUUCCUUUUCUAAAAAAUUAGAAUAGUUUUAUUUCAAAGAGUGCUUAUAGAUAUUAGAUAUAACAUCUAAUAUAAAGAAAUAGCAACAUAAUUUAUUCCACAAAUAAGAUCUUUAAGUCAAUUUUAUAAUAUAUAGAGAUAUGGAUUUGCAUGUAUAUUAAUAUUAUAAGUG
RNAcentral lists this long non-coding RNA (2810 nucleotides) under Sus scrofa (pig). RNAcentral describes it as "lncRNA (ENSSSCG00015078325.1)". Lineage: Eukaryota; Metazoa; Chordata; Mammalia; Artiodactyla; Suidae. The record is from RNAcentral.